Molecule: long non-coding RNA, 765 nt
Organism: Brassica oleracea var. oleracea
Lineage: Eukaryota; Viridiplantae; Streptophyta; Magnoliopsida; Brassicales; Brassicaceae
Exons: 3
Source: RefSeq, a predicted model, not a curated record
CUUCAAAAAAAAAGCAAAAAAAAUAAACGAAAAAGAGAAAAAGCCACAGAACCGCUGUCUAAAACAGCAUUUGUAGAGUUGCUAAAAACCCCUAACGUAGCUGCUUGGUAUAGGCUAAUCGUUUUAGGCAAAAAGAGGAAAAAUUAGAGCUCUCCGUCUCUCUUUCAUCGAGUGAAACCUCAAUUUCUUUGGAGGUGCUCUGAUUCUUUGAUCAUACUUGAGAUGAGUUUUUGUGUUGAUUUUCUCAACAAAAUUAGGGCGUUUACGUUUCUUUGCCAUGGGUGAGGACUGAGAGCCACAAAUCCUAUUAAUUGAAGUUGGUAAAAUACAAUAUGCUUCUUGUUUUAUCAAGAGAUUGAUAGUGCGACGUCCUCGGGAUCCUCUGAGGAGAAAGCCAUUGAUCCAGUGGAGAUAAUUCCUUUGAAUCAAGUUUCUCAAACCACCGUGGAAGCUUCUUUACAAGGGAAACCACAAAGACCCAUCUUACUCAGAGCCAUCAGUUUCAAACAGAGGACAACGGGUAAUAGUGAUCAUGAAGGCCGUCGGGUCUCUGUGGAGCUCAAGGGUCCUCCUUCUAGAUCUUCUUUGGAGAAUAGUGAUUGGAGUAAGGCAGAGUCUCUAGUUAAGGUAGAACUACAAGCGGAUGUUGAGCUUAUAAGAUCCAGCACUAGAGGGUUUGCUGUAAGUAUUCAUUUAUGGUUUAUGGUUUAUGGUAUCAUCUCGUUUUGGUUAUUAUCGUUGAAGUCGGAUAACCAGACUGAGAUA